RNAcentral lists this transfer RNA (68 nucleotides) under Barsine fuscozonata. RNAcentral describes it as "tRNA-Cys". The record is from RNAcentral. Lineage: Eukaryota; Metazoa; Arthropoda; Insecta; Lepidoptera; Erebidae.
AGUCUUAUAUUCAAUAGUGAUUUAAAAUUGCAAAUUUUAAGGGGUAUUUAUUUACAAUACUAAGGCUU